AUGUCCCUUCUGACUUUUCAGAACGUGGCACUCAAACUGGGUUUAUCUCAUCCCCUCCCAAGUGCUCUACUCAGGGCAGACUCGGUGGCUAAUUCCUACCCCGCACACUGGGAAUCCGACAUCAAAGCAGAUACAGACACAGGAGCACAUAGAAGCAAAGGAGAGAAGGAACUUCAGGGUUCCCUGUGGCGCCUCAGUCCCUGCUUCAAGCUCCUUGGCCCUGGGCUCCGAGACACCUCCCUCCAACCUCAGAACAAGUCCUCCUUGUCACUUAAGGAAGAAAGGAGGCCAACUCCACAAGAUCCCACCCUGGCAGGUGUGUGAGCAGGAAGAGGAGCCAGGAAACACUGAUGCUGAUAGAAGGGACAGAACCACACCCAGCCNGAAAGCUAGAUACACGGCAUGGGAGGGAGGGGGAAAUGAGGACUGACUACAAAUGGGUGUGGGGUUUCUUUCAGGGGUAAUGAAAAUAUAAAAUUAGGUCCUAGCCUCCUUUCCAAUACACCAAAUAUACAUCAACCAAUAGUGUGCAAGGAUGGGUGGGGACCUAGCAGGGUGGAGGAACCCCGGUGGGAGACUAUUCCAUUGUGAAGAAGCCAGUGCCAUUUUUCUUUAAUAACUGACAGUGAACAUGUCUAGACAUUUUCAUGAUCAGUGAAAACACUACAUAGAGGGAACACGAGAACCAAAGGUGUGGGACCCGCCCCCAAGCCACCCCUCUGACUUUGGUUGGCUGUUUCAGGAAGAAAGGAGGCCAACUCCACAAGAUCCCACCCUGGCAGGUGUGUGAGCAGGAAGAGGAGCCAGGAAACACUGAUGCUGAUAGAAGGGACAGAACCACACCCAGCCAGAGAUCACUGUCACAGUGCUAAGUCCAUCAGCCAUGUGAGGAACAGAAUGGAGAAAACCCACUUCGAUGACAGGAGCCUUCCAGACGGGUCUCUUCCCCACCAGUCUUACCUUCUGCUGACUGUAGACACAGCUUCUGUGAAACACCCAGCACAGGUGAGAGCUCAGUGAAUAUUUUUUUAGGGAAUUAAUAGCAACAUCACUUCUGACAGCAAACAAAAAAGAAUGAAUUUAAAUGUCCUACAAUAGACUGUUGGUACUGAUACACUGAUGAUGUCUCUAAUUAGGCAAGUUAUUUAGGGCUACCAUGCCUGAAUCUUUCUCUUCGCUAAAAUGAAGAGAGUAACGGAACUUGUCUCCUAUUAUGAAGAUUUAAAUGACCUUAGGUAUGUAACUUCAUAGCAUAAGUGAGUACAAAAUAAAUGUUAUCUGUUACUGUGGUUCCA
This 1295-nucleotide long non-coding RNA is filed under the name Sus scrofa (pig). Its description in RNAcentral is "lncRNA (ENSSSCG00015018189.1)". Lineage: Eukaryota; Metazoa; Chordata; Mammalia; Artiodactyla; Suidae. The record is from RNAcentral.